This 93-nucleotide transfer RNA is filed under the name Herbaspirillum frisingense. Its description in RNAcentral is "tRNA-Leu". It matches the Rfam family "tRNA". Rfam says of the family: Transfer RNA (tRNA) molecules are approximately 80 nucleotides in length. RNAcentral also lists the same sequence under 4 other names. Lineage: Bacteria; Pseudomonadati; Pseudomonadota; Betaproteobacteria; Burkholderiales; Oxalobacteraceae. The record is from RNAcentral.
GCCUGAGUGGUGAAAUUGGUAGACACAGCGGACUUAAAAUCCGCCGCCUACCCGGAAGGGAGCGUGCCGGUUCGACCCCGGCCUCAGGCACCA